CCGCACGGGUGAGUAACACGUAUCCAACCUGCCGUCUACUCUUGGCCAGCCUUCUGAAAGGAAGAUUAAUCCAGGAUGGCAUCAUGAGUUCACAUGUCCGCAUGAUUAAAGGUAUUUUCCGGUAGACGAUGGGGAUGCGUUCCAUUAGAUAGUAGGCGGGGUAACGGCCCACCUAGUCAACGAUGGAUAGGGGUUCUGGGAGGAAGGUCCCCCACAUUGGAACUGAGACACGGUCCAA
This 238-nucleotide ribosomal RNA is filed under the name uncultured bacterium. Its description in RNAcentral is "partial 16S ribosomal RNA". It matches the Rfam family "Bacterial small subunit ribosomal RNA", at positions 98 to 334 of the family's 1533-position model. The record is from RNAcentral.